This 474-nucleotide ribosomal RNA is filed under the name uncultured bacterium. Its description in RNAcentral is "SSU rRNA". It matches the Rfam family "Bacterial small subunit ribosomal RNA", at positions 26 to 521 of the family's 1533-position model. The record is from RNAcentral.
AGAACGAACGCUGGCGGCAUGCCUAACACAUGCAAGUCGAACGCUCUUGGGGCUUCGGUCUCAGGGGAGUGGCGCACGGGUGAGUAGCGCGUGGGAACCUGCCCUGUUGUGGGGGAUAACCGAGGGAAACUUCGGCUAAUACCGCAUAAGCCGGUUGUCUUGAAGGAGAUGGCCGGGAAAGAUUUAUCGCGACAGGAGGGGCCCGCGUCGGAUUAGCUAGUUGGUGGGGUAACGGCCCACCAAGGCUGUGAUCCGUAGCUGGUCUGAGAGGAUGAUCAGCCACACUGGGACUGAGACACGGCCCAGACUCCUACGGGAGGCAGCAGUGGGGAAUAUUGGACAAUGGGCGCAAGCCUGAUCCAGCAAUGCCGCGUGAGUGAUGAAGGCCUUAGGGUUGUAAAGCUCUUUCGCCCGCGACGAUGAUGACGGUAGCGGGAGAAGAAGCCCGGCUAACUUCGCGCCAGCAGCCGCGGU